CUUACGAUGCUCCGCUGGUCUCGGCUACUGCGCGGGCGACCCCCGCCGGUGAUGGGGCACGCCAAGCGGAUGCGCUUCGCCGGCGUCGACGACAAUCCCUCCGUCACACACAAGCCGUGGGACACCAGCGAGCCGCUCAUGGCGGACUACGGCUGGGAACGCGGUAAGCUGCCGAAGUUUCGCGCUCGUAGUCCGUUUCACCGCCAGCAGAUCGCGCGCCGCAUGGUGACGGAGCUGAUCCGCAAAGACUACGUCAUCGUAGGCGGCGCGCGCGCUCCGGCAUUGCGCAUCCUGGCCGACCACGUCGUCGAGCUCGCCAAGGCUGGUGACACGGACUCGCGUCAGCAGUUGGCCUACUUUCUACACGACCCCCUCAUGGUCGACAAGGCCUUUGACGAGUAUCCGCGUCGGUUCCGCGACAUGAACGCCAAAUACGCGAUGAUGACGCGCCUGAAGGGGCGCCGACGCAGCGACAACGUUGCCAUGUACUUUGUGGAGUACAAAAAUCGCGACAUGAGCGACAAUCACAAGGGCGAGGACUACACCGCUGGGCCGGAGCGCUUCUUCCUGCCGCCGCGCAUCAUCGAGACCGAAAAAGGUAUUCAGCGCCCGCCGCACAUGCAGAUGGCGUUUGACCGGUGGGCGAGCAAGUUUAAGACGGAGGAGUUUCAUCACUGGUGGCGGCUGCGGCACGCCAAGCUGCGCUACUGGGGUGUCCGCAACGUCCCGCAUCCAAGCGAUGUGGACCCACUCUGGACAGAGAAGGAGGAGGAGGAGUGGCACAACGAGAUGCUGGCCAACACCAGCGACUUCGAGGACUUCGACCUCGACGACGACUCCUACGAGGCCGCCGGCGAGGGAGGCGGCCAGUGUGGCAGCUCAUCUCCGUCAGGGAUCGGACCGGAGCCACAGAAGAAGUUCUGAGCACGCGCCAGGACGUCCGCUUCCUUUUGUUUCGCUCUGUUCUCGCGACACAGGAGGAGCGUCCGUGUGCGUGCAGUCGCCCCACUGACAGUGCUGCAUAUCCAGUUGCCCUCUUGCCACGUUUCUUGGCGCAGGUGCGUGUCUGCAUGCGUGUGUGGUGUGGCGGAUCGUUGUACAUGUCGGUGCGGCUUACCGUAUGCGGCACCGCGGCGCCCCCUCAAGGCUUCACAGGUGUACGCGCACCGUCGCCGACUCGCUCGACUAAUAACCCAACACAAACAGAGGAAGCGCCAAGCAACAGGAGUGAGCCAUGCAGAGCGGAGCGCCAUCACAUCUGCGCGGCAAACGCGAGGGAGGUUGUCACAGUGCGUGGAGGCGCCCACGCCUCCCCACCCUUGCCGGCGAAAACGGCGCGCUUCUCGCAGAGCCUGUCACCCUAGUCGCGCGCAGGCCUAUGAGUAUGUGAACACCGACUGAUGGAUGGGAGCCGCUUCUCAUGCUGUGUGCGGUGCAAGAGUGGUGCCCCUUUCUCUUGUUCUCUCUGUCGCUGGCGCACGCGUAGGCACGCACGUCGGCUUCCGCUUCUACCAUCAGCAGAACUCGCGCAGCGGGUGCGUGCGCAUCAGUGUGACGUGCAAUCGUGGAUGUGCCGUCGAAGUCUCCUCUGCUCUUCUCUCUCCUUUUGUGUCACUCUUCCCGGACUUCACACACACACAAAG
This 1643-nucleotide unclassified non-coding RNA is filed under the name Leishmania donovani. RNAcentral's name for it is "gene:LdHU3.16.0190(CDS-product:50S_ribosomal_prot ein_L17_putative)". The record is from RNAcentral. Lineage: Eukaryota; Euglenozoa; Kinetoplastea; Trypanosomatida; Trypanosomatidae.